This 253-nucleotide ribosomal RNA is filed under the name uncultured bacterium. RNAcentral describes it as "partial 16S ribosomal RNA". It matches the Rfam family "Bacterial small subunit ribosomal RNA", at positions 524 to 776 of the family's 1533-position model. The record is from RNAcentral.
GACGAACCGUCCUAACGUUGUUCGGAAUCACUGGGCUUAAAGGGCGCGUAGGCGGGUUCCCAAGUCGGUGGUGAAAUCUUUCGGCCCAACCGGAAAACAGCCGCCGAUACUGGGAGUCUUGAGGGAGGUAGGGGUCGAUGGAACUUCCGGUGGAGCGGUGAAAUGCGUAGAUAUCGGAAGGAACGCCGGUGGCGAAAGCGAUCGACUGGACCUUUUCUGACGCUGAGGCGCGAGAGCGUGGGGAGCGAACCGG